CGGGGCGUAGCGCAGUCCGGUUAGCGCGCUUGCUUUGGGAGCAAGAGGUCCCGGGUUCGAAUCCCGGCGCCCCGACAA
This 78-nucleotide transfer RNA is filed under the name Chloroflexi bacterium CFX6. RNAcentral describes it as "tRNA-Pro". It matches the Rfam family "tRNA". From Rfam's summary of the family: Transfer RNA (tRNA) molecules are approximately 80 nucleotides in length. Lineage: Bacteria; Bacillati; Chloroflexota. The record is from RNAcentral.